RNAcentral lists this ribosomal RNA (587 nucleotides) under uncultured bacterium. RNAcentral's name for it is "bacterial SSU rRNA". It matches the Rfam family "Bacterial small subunit ribosomal RNA", at positions 102 to 682 of the family's 1533-position model. The record is from RNAcentral.
ACGGGGUAGUAACGGGUAGGUGACGUACCCUCGGGUUGGGGAUAGCCACGGGAAACUGUGGGUAAUACCCAAUAAUCUCCUGGAGUCGGAAGACUUCGAGAGCAAAGGUGUGAUUCCACCGGAGGAGCGGCCUGCUUCGUAUUAGCUAGUUGGUGAGGUAACGGCUCACCAAGGCAUCGAUGCGUAGGGGGUGUGAGAGCAUGACCCCCACCACUGGGACUGAGAUACUGCCCAGACACCUACGGGUGGCUGCAGUCGAGAAUCUUCGGCAAUGGGCGCAAGCCUGACCGAGCGACGCCGCGUGUGGGAUGAAGGCCCUUGGGUUGUAAACCACUGUCAGAGGGGAUGAAGUGCAGGAGAGCUAUCUCUCCUGUUUGACAUAGCCUCAGAGGAAGCACGGGCUAAGUUCGUGCCAGCAGCCGCGGUAAUACGAACUGUGCAAACGUUAUUCGGAAUCACUGGGCUUACAGGGUGCGUAGGCGGCUUGCUAAGUAGGGUGUGAAAGCCCCCGGCUUAACCGGGGAAUGGCGCCCUAAACUGGCGAGCUGGAGUGAGAUAGGGGUGUGCGGAACUUCCGGUGGAGCGGU